UCUCCGUAGGUGAACCUGCGGAGGGAUCAUUACAGAGUUCAUGCCCUACCGGGUAGAUCUCCCACCCUAUGUUAUUAUUACUUUGUUGCUUUGGCGGGCCGUUAGGCUCCGGCCCCACCACCGGCCCCGGCUGGUAAGCGCCCGCCAGAGGACCCAAAACCCUGAAUAUUAGUGUCGUCUGAGUACUAUAUAAUAGUUAAAACUUUCAACAACGGAUCUCAUGGUUCUG
Molecule: unclassified non-coding RNA, 229 nt
Filed under: plant metagenome
Description: partial contains small subunit ribosomal RNA, internal transcribed spacer 1, and 5.8S ribosomal RNA
Source: RNAcentral